RNAcentral lists this ribosomal RNA (397 nucleotides) under uncultured bacterium. RNAcentral describes it as "bacterial SSU rRNA". It matches the Rfam family "Bacterial small subunit ribosomal RNA", at positions 505 to 898 of the family's 1533-position model. The record is from RNAcentral.
GUGUCAGCCGCCGCGGUAACACGUAGGCACCAAGCGUUGUCCGGAUUUAUUGGGCGUAAAGAGCUCGUAGGCGGUUCAGUAAGUCGGGUGUGAAAACUCUGGGCUCAACCCAGAGACGCCACCCGAUACUGCUGUGACUUGAGUACGGUAGGGGAGCAGGGAAUUCCUGGUGUAGCGGUGAAAUGCGCAGAUAUCAGGAGGAACACCGGUGGCGAAGGCGCUGCUCUGGGCCGAAACUGACGCUGAGGAGCGAAAGCGUGGGUAGCAAACAGGAUUAGAUACCCUGGUAGUCCACGCCGUAAACGUUGGGCACUAGGUGUGGGCUCUAACCAACGGAGUCCGCGCCGUCGCUAACGCAUUAAGUGCCCCGCCUGGGGAGUACGGCCGCAAGGUUAAA